UCGCAGACAGUUACCCCUUUCUAGUCUGGCUCGUGGGACUCUAGAGGGAGUCAGUCUGCAACAGUGACUGGUGAGUUCUUCUGUCCAGUGUCAGCGCGUUGAUGGUGGCUUUAGACGUGCCAGAUAGCG
This is a small nucleolar RNA of Camelus dromedarius (Arabian camel), 129 nucleotides long. Ensembl annotates it as small nucleolar RNA, H/ACA box 56. The record is from Ensembl. Lineage: Eukaryota; Metazoa; Chordata; Mammalia; Artiodactyla; Camelidae.